This 468-nucleotide ribosomal RNA is filed under the name uncultured bacterium. RNAcentral's name for it is "partial 16S ribosomal RNA". It matches the Rfam family "Bacterial small subunit ribosomal RNA", at positions 28 to 507 of the family's 1533-position model. The record is from RNAcentral.
GACGAACGCUGGCGGCGUGCUUAACACAUGCAAGUCGAACGGAAAGGCCCUGCUUUCGUGGGGUGCUCGAGUGGCGAACGGGUGAGUAACACGUGAGUAACCUGCCCUUGACUUUGGGAUAACUUCAGGAAACUGGGGCUAAUACCGGACAGGAGCUCCCGCUCCAUGGAGGGGGUUGGAAAGUUUCGGCGGGUGUGGAUGGAUUCGCGGCUUAUCAGCUUGUUGGUGGGGUAGUGGCUUACCAAGGCUUUGACGGGUAGCCGGCCUGGGAGGGUGGCCGGCCACAUUGGGACUGAGGUACGGCCCAGACUCCUACGGGAGGCAGCGGGGGGGAAUAUUGCACAAUGGUCGGAAGCCUGAUGCAGCAACGCCGCGGGCGGGAUGACGGCCUUCGGGUUGUAAACCGCUUUCGCCUGUGACGAAGCGUGAGUGACGGUAAUGGGUAAAGAAGCACCGGCUAACUACGUG